GUCAUUGAAAAUAAGAAUUUGUUCUUAACUGACUUGCCUAGUUAAAAAAGGUAAAAUAAAUAAAAAUUAUUCUCACCCCUCCACAGACUUUUAUAAGUGGUUCCAUUCAAAUAGUAUCAAGAAUCAGCAUAUCCUUUCUUCAGGUCUAUCAGGUCUAGCUAUGCAGGUAUGGAUCCAUCCAGUCUAAAUGGAUAUUUUAACACCAGUCUUUAAUUUGUCCUUAAAGGGGUAGUUCAAUGUGAAGUUUGAUUUCCUUUUUAAAUAUUAUUUUAUUGGUAUGUACAUAACAUUUCCAUACAACUUUUUUUACUUGUACAGUUUAGCUGAACGCAACAUGUUUGAGCGAUCCCGUCCUUCUGCUGAACAUGAUGAAUAUUCUCUUUGGAAUCUCGUUCGUCUGAACUCCUGUUGAGAAAAGGAAUAGCUGACUUCAGCAGAGGGCUACGUAACCUGUCAUAAAGGCUACAUAUGUAAUGUCUAACUACCUCCAUGUGCCUGCCUGGUAUCUGGUCCCCACCCAGACACCAGGCAGGUGAAGCUUUUGCCUUAGGUUUCCUCUGUAUGUGGCUGAACAGGGAGUCGUGAUGCCAACUAGACUGGUCCUGAUGGUGGUACCAGACUGGUCACUAGAAGAUGCCUGUUACUGAACUACCACAAGGUUUCUGCCCCCCUGGUUGAGGUCCUAGUGUCUGCCGUGUUUGGAAAGAGCUCGUUGGCUGCUGAAGUGUUGCUGUGCUGGUGGAGCGGGAAGCUCUCCUGUUUGGUCAGCAAGGAAGUGAGACAUCUUGUUGGAACUGGGGAAAACCAGGCCAAGUCAAUUCAACCCUGUGACUGUGUUUUGAUGUAUAAAUAAAUCUACAAAU
Molecule: long non-coding RNA, 863 nt
Organism: Salvelinus namaycush (lake trout)
Lineage: Eukaryota; Metazoa; Chordata; Actinopteri; Salmoniformes; Salmonidae
Exons: 5
Source: RefSeq, a predicted model, not a curated record